This 439-nucleotide ribosomal RNA is filed under the name crenarchaeote SCGC AAA008-P23. RNAcentral describes it as "SSU rRNA". It matches the Rfam family "Archaeal small subunit ribosomal RNA", at positions 464 to 908 of the family's 1478-position model. The record is from RNAcentral. Lineage: Archaea; Thermoproteati; Thermoproteota.
GCCGCGGUAAAACCAGCACCUCAAGUGGUCAGGAUGAUUAUUGGGCCUAAAGCAUCCGUAGCCGGCUCUGUAAGUUUUCGGUUAAAUCUAUGCGCUCAACGUAUGGGCUGCCGAAAAUACUGUAGAGAUAGGGAGUGGGAGAGGUAGACGGUACUCGGUAGGAAGGGGUAAAAUCCUUUGAUCUAUCGAUGACCACCUGUGGCGAAGGCGGUCUACCAGAACACGUUCGACGGUGAGGGAUGAAAGCUGGGGGAGCAAACCGGAUUAGAUACCCGGGUAGUCCCAGCUGUAAACGAUGCAGACUCGAUGAUGCAUUGGCAUAUAGCCAGUGCAGUGUCGCAGGGAAGCCGUUAAGUCUGCCGCCUGGGAAGUACGUACGCAAGUAUGAAACUUAAAGGAAUUGGCGGGGGAGCACGGUCAUACCCCAUUUCCUGAACUG